UGGGGGAUGGUGUAACGGCAACACGCGUGGCUCUGGACCACGUUAUCGGGGUUCGAAUCCCUGUCCCCCAGCCA
RNAcentral lists this transfer RNA (74 nucleotides) under Acidobacteriota bacterium. RNAcentral describes it as "tRNA-Gln". It matches the Rfam family "tRNA". From Rfam's summary of the family: Transfer RNA (tRNA) molecules are approximately 80 nucleotides in length. Their secondary structure includes four short double-helical elements and three loops (D, anti-codon, and T loops). The record is from RNAcentral. Lineage: Bacteria; Pseudomonadati; Acidobacteriota. RNAcentral also lists the same sequence under 1 other name.